GCCCUCCGGGACCGGGAGCGGGAGGGACGGGGGGCGGGGUCCCGUGCUGGAGAGCCGAGGCUGCGAGGGGAGCGCCCGUGUGCUCGGGGAAGUGCUGCCCCUUGCAGGUACCCGGCGGAGAGGCGAGCUCAGAACCCUGGGGAAGGGGGUGCUCUGCUCACUGGGGCAAGUGGUGAGCUGGCUCUCGGCGGACAGGUCAGGUACUCAGUUGAGUCAGCUAUGGAGCUGGACAAGGCCCACCUGCCCUGGGGUACCACGGCCUUGCCCUGGGAGCUGACUGUGGCAGAGAGCCAGAUCCAAGGCUGGGGAUUAAAGGAAGAGGCCUCCCCCAGUCCCACCAAGGGAUAGGGUCAGUACUGGGGAGGCUGGCAGCC
RNAcentral lists this long non-coding RNA (374 nucleotides) under Ovis aries (sheep). RNAcentral's name for it is "lncRNA (ENSOARG00000026628.1)". The record is from RNAcentral. Lineage: Eukaryota; Metazoa; Chordata; Mammalia; Artiodactyla; Bovidae.